UCCUACGGGAGGCAGCAGUGGGGAAUAUUGGACAAUGGGGGCAACCCUGAUCCAGCCAUGCCGCGUGUGUGAAGAAGGCCCUCGGGUUGUAAAGCACUUUCAGCGAGGAAGAACGCCUAGCGGUUAAUACCCGCUAGGAAAGACAUCACUCGCAGAAGAAGCACCGGCUAACUCCGUGCCAGCAGCCGCGGUAAUACGGAGGGUGCAAGCGUUAAUCGGAAUUACUGGGCGUAAAGCGCGCGUAGGUGGCUUGAUAAGCCGGUUGUGAAAGCCCCGGGCUCAACCUGGGAACGGCAUCCGGAACUGUCAAGCUAGAGUGCAGGAGAGGAAGGUAGAAUUCCCGGUGUAGCGGUGAAAUGCGUAGAGAUCGGGAGGAAUACCAGUGGCGAAGGCGGCCUUCUGGACUGACACUGACACUGAGGUGCGAAAGCGUGGGUAGCAAACAGGAUUAGAUACCCUGGUAGUCCACGCCGUAAACGAUGUCGACCAGCCGUUGGGUGCCUAGCGCACUUUGUGGCGAAGUUAACGCGAUAAGUCGACCGCCUGGGGAGUACGGUCGCAAGGUUAAAACUCAAAUGAAUUGACGG
This 587-nucleotide ribosomal RNA is filed under the name uncultured bacterium. Its description in RNAcentral is "bacterial SSU rRNA". It matches the Rfam family "Bacterial small subunit ribosomal RNA", at positions 337 to 916 of the family's 1533-position model. The record is from RNAcentral.